UGGAAGCUGGGAUUUUGUCAGUGUGGGCUUUCAGUCGGAUGUUUGCAUCAUCUUAUUGCCACAAACCACC
Molecule: microRNA precursor, 70 nt
Filed under: Oryzias latipes (Japanese medaka)
Lineage: Eukaryota; Metazoa; Chordata; Actinopteri; Beloniformes; Adrianichthyidae
Description: miRNA (ENSORLG00015012422.1)
Source: RNAcentral